AAACUGUCAGUACUCAGCCUGCUCCAGUCAGACACCAGGGGAAUCCCUUCACCUCCACACAUUUUCAGUAGGUCUGAGUGAGAAGUUGACUUCCUGCUCCCUUUUCCCACCCGUCCUCGAAAGCACGCAGCAUGCUGCGGUCUCCCUGCCUGGAGAUGGGAGGUUUGCCUGAGCAGGGAGCUCAUCUUUCACUCCCUGCCUGGCAGAAGCAGAUGGCACUUCAGUUUUUUCACCAGGUGGUGUCAACAGAGCCAACCAGGUGCAACCAGGUGGGGCAGGUAGGGUCUAAUUACCACAAAGCUUGAUGUUCUUUUCCCCUUCCCCCUCCCUGCCAUAGUCUUCCAGUUGAGGGGAGUGGCGUUGAGCCUGCACACCCACUGGCAUCAGUAAGGUAGAAUGGGCGGAAAGACGCAGGGCUGCCCGGCACCCACUUAACCCUUUCUGGUGGAAUGGAGCUCAUUAAGGUGCAGCUGUUGUGUCGCCACAAAGUGGCAUGACUUAGCCCUUGGGUUGCUGCUCCCUGGUGGGAGCUAGGCACAAGGGGAAGCUGAUUUUCUUACAUGAAGGCAAGAGAAGUGAUGAAUUGUAGCCAUAUUUUUGCCAAGAAUGUGUCAGUAAAGUGAACUUCCACCUCCCCUGUUGGCAGUACGUCCAUGCCAAUCAGUGCCUUGCUUUUUGUCUGCAUGUUGGCUUAGGGGAAGGUCUGCAUACCGGAAUACAUACACCCACCCAUCUGUGGCAUUAUACCUUAACAGGAUCCAGGAUUUCUCAACAAAAAUGUCAGGGUACAAUUAAACAGCCAUCAUAUCAAGAACCAGGAAAAUCACUCAUGAAUGAGAACAAAGAACACGUGCCAACACUGAGAUUUAUCUGACGAAUAUUUGAAAGCAGCCAUGAUAAAAAUGUUUUAGAAAGCUGUUACAAAUUCUAGAAAAGCUCAGCAAAGAAAUAGAAUUUCUUAAGAGAAUGAAAAAGAAAUUAUAGAGCUAAAAAAACAACAAAUUAAAAAAGUGAAUGGACUCAGUUGUGGAGAUAACAGAGUAUAGAAUUUACUCAAUAUACAUAGCAGAGAAAAUAGAGUGGGAAAAAAAAAUAGUCUCUCAUACCUCUGGGACAGUAAGUUAAUAUUCAUGUCAACACAGCCCCAGAGAGAAAGGAGAAAGUAAGACCAAAAAACAAAAUUUAAAGAAAUAUCUAAAAACUUCCCAAGAUGGUGAAAGACAUAAACUUGCAUUUGAAAAGCUGAACGAAUCCCAAACAGGAUAAACCCAAAGAAAUCUCUGCCAAGAAACACCAUGAUUAAACUUCUACAGACUAAAGAGAAAACUAUUGAAAUUAUCCAGAGAGAAGUGACACCUUUCUUGUAGGGGAAAACCAAUUUAAAUGAGAGGAGCUUGCUCAUCUGGAACCAUGGAGGCCAUGACACACUUUGUAGGGACUGAGAGAAAAGAUCAGCCACAAAUUGUAUGUGAGGCGAUCCCAGUAACAGAAUCAUUCAGGAGUAGAAGGGAAAGGACCUGUUUCUGAGAUAAAGGAAUAACUAAGAAUUUAUUGCUAGCAAAUAAAAAGAGUCGGAACUUCAGGAAUAUUUAUCCAUUCCAGUGUUCUUUCAUAACAGAUCCUGAUGAGCUUCUUAAAUCAUAUUUCAUAGUGGAAACAAAGCACAUACCACAAUAUGAUGUGGUAAAUCUAUGUAAAAUAUCUAAGAUAAUUAUUCUUGAAAAAGGGAGCAGAUAAAGAGACCGAAGGGGAAUUAAGUUGUGUAUACUUAAAAUGAUAAAAUAUUGAUACCCAUAGCACAAGUUACAUAUGCAUAUUUUAAUCUUUAGAGCAACUGCUAAAAAAUUACAGAAAGCAAUAUACUCAAAACACACUGAACAAAUUAAGAUGGAAUUCUUAAAAUGUUUACAUUAUUUAUAGUAAGGUAAAAAGAGAACCAGGAAGAAAUAGGAAACAAUUAAAUACAGACUUAAGGCCUUCCGUAUGUAUAGUUACCUUAAAUAGUAGGGGGUCUGAAUUUACUCAGAAGACAGAGAUUGGCAGAAUGGGUAAGAAAAUAUCCUAAAUUAUACUGUUUACAAGAAAAGCAUUGAUAAAUGAUGAAUAAGUGUGUUGAAAUGGGUUAAGGAUCUGGUGUUGCUGUAGGUUGUUGUGUAGGCUGUAGAUGUGGCUCGGAUCUGCUCUUGGCCAUGGCUGUGGUAUAGGCUCGUGGCUGUGGCUCUGACUUAGCCCCUAGCCUUGGAACUUCUGUAUGCCACAGAUGUGGCCCUAAACAAACAAACAGUCAUAUUAAUAGCAGAAAAUUUCAGGACAAAGAAGCUUAACUAGAGAGAAAGACACAUGAUAGAAGAACCAACCCAAUAUGGAAGACAUAAUGAUAUGGAAUAUUUACAUACCAAGGAAGAAAACAUUAAAAUAUAUGAAGCAAAAACUUACACCUAUUUGUAAGUAUAAAUGAAGUUGGAGUCUUUUAACACACUGUUCUCAACAAUGGAUAUAACUACUAGAUGGAAAAUCAAGACAACAGGAAAUUUUUUCAACACUUGAAACACAUUUAUUAAUAAUGCAUGGUUGAAAGGAAAAUUUCAAAAGAAAUUAAUGAAAAUACAGUAUGUCAGAUAUGUGGGAUGUGGCUUAAAGCAGUGCUGAGAGGAAAGUUGUAGUAUUAAAUGAUUGCCUUUGAAAGGAGGAAAGAUCUAAUAUCAAUAAAUUAAGCUACCUCAAACUACAAAAGAGCGAACUCUAAAACAAGGAAAAGGAGUUCCUGUCAUGACUCAGCAGUUAACGAAUCUGAUUAGCAUCCACGAGGAUGCAGGUUCGAUCCCUGGCCUUGAUCAGUGGGUUACGGAUCCGGUGUUGCUGUGAGCUGUGGUGUAGGUUGCAGACACGGCUCGGAUCCUGCAUUGCUGUGGCAUAGGCCAGCAGCUACAGCUUCGAUUUGACCCCUAGCCUGGGAACCUCCGUAUGCCAUGGGUGCGGCCCUGAAAAGCAAAAAAAUUAAAAAAUAAAACAAGGAAAAGGAUGGAAAUAAUAAAGAGCAGGAAUCAAUGAAAUUGAAAGUAGAACGAGAAGAAAAAAUGAAAAUAAAAACUUAUUCUUUGAAAAGAUCAAUAAAAUUGAUAACCUUGCAAAACUAACAAGACAGAAACCACAAUAAAUCAGGAAUGAAGCAGAGGAGGAUAUGACUACUGAUACUGCAGCUGUUAAAAAAAUAAGGUAAUGCUGUGAACAACUUCGUGCUCAUAAAUUAAACCACUUAGAGGAAGUCGAUCAAUUCUCAAACUAAAACUUAAGCACAGCUCGACCCAGUUGAAAUGGACAACUUGAAUAGUGAUAUAACCUUUAAAGAAAUUGAACUUCUUCAUUUAUAAGUUCCUAAAAAAAAAAAAAAUCUCCAGGCCUAGAUGGUUUCAUUGGAGGAAUUAAGCAACAUUUAAUGAAUAAUUAAUACCAAUUUUAUGUAAUAUUCUCCAGAAAAAUAGGAGGAAAGACUUAGAAACUCAAUUUAUGAGGUUAGUAUUACCUUGGUAGCAAAACCAGACAAAGACAACAAAAAAUUAGAACUCCGUAGCCCAGUAUCUUUCAUGGACAUCAACAGAAUAUUAGCAAAUAAUAUUUAGUAAUAAAGGUUUAACAUGACUAAGUGGAAUUUAUUCCAGACAUGCAAGACUGGUUCAACAUUUGAAACUCUUGAUGUAAUCUACUGUAUCAGCAGGCUAAAGAAGAAGAACCUUAUCAUCUAUGAAUUCAUCCAGAAAAAACAUUUGACAAAAACCAACAUUCAUGAUUUAAAAACUCAGAAAACUAAUAGAGCACUGCCUCAACUAGAUAAAAAGCAUCUACUAAAAAUCUCUAGGUAAGAGUACACUCGGUAGUGAAAGUUGGAAUACUUCCCUCUUGGGAAGAAGGCAAGGACGUGUUCUUACUAUUGCUGUUCAAGAUAGUACGGGGAGUUCUGGCUACUACAAUAAAGCAAGAAAAAGAAUUAAAACUGUCCCUAUUUGCAGAUGACAUUGUCUGCAAAUGAUGAUGUCAUAGAAAAUCCUAUGGAAUUUAGAAAACUCCUAGAAUUGGGGAGCUCAAUAGGUGUUCCAUACAGCAUCAACACAUAAAAAUCAAUCACAUUUCUAGUUAUUAACAAGGACUUGUGAAACCGCAAAACAUUAUUUACAGUUGCUCCAAAAAGGUAUAAAUUUUCUCAUGUAUAGAAUCUUUGAACUGAAAAUUAUGAAAUGCCAAGAAAUGACGAUCUACUAAGUGUUGAAACAUACUCUUGCUCAUACAGCUGUAUGACGUAGAUUCAAUAUAGUAAAGGCUAAUUCUUCUCAGGUUGACAUAGGUAUUAAUGCAAUUCCUGUAAAAAUUCCAGCAAGUUACUGUGUAGACCAUAGAGGAGGUUGGUUACUCAGAAUUUUGUAGGCACAGGACCCAGAAUAGCUAAAGCAAUACUGAAAAAGCAUGGAGGGUAGAAUCAUUCUUACUGAUGCUAAAGCCUUGUCGAUACCUGCGGUCAUCAAGAUGGUGUGGUACUGGCAGAGAGAUCCAACGAACGGGAUGGAGAACUAAGAAGUUCGCUCACCCGUAGAUACCCUACUAAUUUUUGAUAAAGGUACAAAAGCGUUUCACUGGAGGGAGGAUAGCCUUUUUCGCAAAUGGUACGGGAGUGAUUUGACAUCUGCAGAUAAAACAUCCUUAAUCUAAACUUUACAUGCCUUAUAAAAAAUUAACUCAUAAACUACAGCUUGAAAUGUAAAAUUAAAAACUUAGGGAAAAAAUAGGAAGUCAUCAAGAUCCAGGCCUCGCAAUGCAUUCUUCAUCUUGACACCAAAAGCGCAAUCCUAAUAGAAAAACAUUGACACGUUGGAACCCCUUAAAUGGAAAAACUUUGCUCUUAGAAGGCCAUGUUAAGAGGAUGAAAAGACAAGCUAUACACUGGUAGAAGAUGUGUGACCGGCAGAUCUUCCAAAAGGGUAGCAUCUGCAAUGUAUAAAGAGCUUUCAGGAGUUCCCGUUGUGCAGUGGCAACGAAUCCAACUAGGCAUCAUGAGGUUUUGGGUUUGAUCCCUGGCCUCGUUCUGUGGGUUAAGGAUCCGGCGUUGCCAUGAGCUAUGGUGUAGGUCACAGACGCAGCUCGGAUCUGGCAUUACUGUGGCUGUGGUGUAGGCCAGCAGCUGUAACUCUGAUUCGACCCCCAGCCCAGGUGCGGUCAAAACAAAACAAAACAAAAAAAAACCCUUUCAAAAUUCAGUAGUUAAAAAAACUCAGAAUAUAGGCAGACGUCAUCUGAAGACACUUCACUGAAGAGGAUGAAUAAAUGGACAAGAAGCACAGAACAAGACAGUCACAUCAAUAGCCAUUAGGAAAUGAAAACUAAAACCACAGGAGAGGUGUCCCCUCUGUGGCUCAGUGGAAACGAAUCCAGCUAGUAUCCAUGAGGACGUUUGAUUCCCGGCCUUGCACACUGUGUUAUGGAUCUGGUGUUGCCGUGAGCUGUGCUGUAGGUCACAGAUGCACCUCGGAUCCUACGGGGCUGUGGCUGUGGCUGUGGCCGGCAGCUAGCGUUCCAGUUCGACCCCUAGCCUGGGAACUUCCAUAUGCUGUGGGUGCAGCCCUAAAAAGACAAAAAACAAACAAAAAACCUCAGGGAGAAAUCUCAUUGCUAAAGGCUAAAAUAAAAAGUAGUGGAAACACCAAAUACCGGUGAGGAUGCGGAGAAAUAGAAUCACUUUUACAUUGAUAGUAGGAAUGUAAAAUAGUACUGCUAUUCUAGAAAACAGUUUUGCCAAUUUCUUAUAAAACUAAAUGCGGAGUUUCCAUCGUGGUGCAGUGGAAAUGAAUCCUAUUAGGAACCAUGAGGUUGCAGGUUUGAUCCCUGGCCUCUUUUAGUGGAUUAAGGAUCCGGCUGUGAGCUGUGGUGUAGGUCACAGAUGGGGCUCGAAUCUGGCGUGACUGGGGCUGUGGAGUAGGCCAGAGGCUAUAGCUCUGAUUUGACCCCUAGCCUGGGAACCUCCGCAUACCAUGGGUGCAGCCCUAAAAAGACAAACCCUCCAAAAACAAUGAAAAAACAAAAAA
This 6071-nucleotide long non-coding RNA is filed under the name Sus scrofa (pig). Its description in RNAcentral is "lncRNA (ENSSSCG00055010113.1)". Lineage: Eukaryota; Metazoa; Chordata; Mammalia; Artiodactyla; Suidae. The record is from RNAcentral.